This is a non-coding RNA of Triticum aestivum (bread wheat), 125 nucleotides long. NCBI's taxonomy places the organism in Eukaryota, Viridiplantae, Streptophyta, Magnoliopsida, Poales, Poaceae. The record is from Rfam.
UGAAUACUCCCUCCGUCCAGAAAUACUUGUCCGAGAAAUGCAUAAAAAUAAAUGUAUCUAAAACUAAAAUACAUCUACAUACAUCCAUUCCUCCGACGAGUAUUUCCGGACGAAUGGAGUAGUAA